Molecule: ribosomal RNA, 495 nt
Filed under: uncultured bacterium
Lineage: Bacteria
Description: partial 16S ribosomal RNA
Rfam family: Bacterial small subunit ribosomal RNA
Source: RNAcentral
GACGAACGCUGGCGGCGUGCCUAAUACAUGCAAGUAGAACGCUGAAGGAGGAGCUUGCUUCUCUGGAUGAGUUGCGAACGGGUGAGUAACGCGUAGGUAACCUGCCUGGUAGCGGGGGAUAACUAUUGGAAACGAUAGCUAAUACCGCAUAAGAGUAGAUGUCGCAUGACAUUUGCUUAAAAGGUGCAAUUGCAUCACUACCAGAUGGACCUGCGUUGUAUUAGCUAGUUGGUGAGGUAACGGCUCACCAAGGCAACGAUACAUAGCCGACCUGAGAGGGGGAUCGGCCACACUGGGACUGAGACACGGCCCAGACUCCUACGGGAGGCAGCAGUAGGGAAUCUUCGGCAAUGGACGGAAGUCUGACCGAGCAACGCCGCGGGAGUGAAGAAGGUUUUCGGAUCGUAAAGCUCGGUUGUAAGAGAAGAACGAGUGUGAGAGUGGAAAGUUCACACUGUGACGGUAUCUUACCAGAAAGGGACGGCUAACUACGUG